Molecule: long non-coding RNA, 715 nt
Filed under: Equus asinus (donkey)
Lineage: Eukaryota; Metazoa; Chordata; Mammalia; Perissodactyla; Equidae
Description: lncRNA (ENSEASG00005034832.1)
Source: RNAcentral
GAGAAAAUACUGCCACAAGCUCAGUGCCACAGGACUCUUAGCUCAGCUGUAUAUAAUGCCACAGUCCCAAACCACAGUGACUUCGAGUUUACGUUUUUCUCAUGUAAAAGAAGUCUGAGGAGGUCUGAUGUUACAGUUUCACCGAGUCAGAGCCUGGGGUUUCUUCUGUCUUCAGCAAUGCCUUCCUCGUGAGGCACUUCAUGGUUCACAGUGGCCCCCAGGAUCACCUGGGGGGGCUCUGAGAGCAGAGCCAAAGGGCUCACUGCCUAUCUUCUAUCCCCAUCAUUCACCCUGCAGAUCUGACAAUCACAUAAUCCAGUCCAGAGGUGGAGAGGCUGCUCGGAGCCUUGCUGGGAGCCAGCCUGGGACUCAGCAAGUAUGUAGCAUGUGGCUGGCAGCAUAAAGGGCCCCCACAGUACACCUGUACUUCUUCAGAAAUGUUCCCCACACCUGCAAUGACUUCUUCAGUGUCUAUCGCCUUCUCUUUAGAUGACACAUUCUGCGAGCCUGGAGCAGCUAACAAACAGCAGAACAAGUGGGACAGAUUUUAGACGUGAGUGCCAAGACAAUUCAACGGGAGAAAAGAUUAAUCUUCUCUACAAAUGGUGUUGGGACAACUGGAUAUGCACAUGCUAAAGAAUGAAGUUGAAUCCCUUCCUUACACCAUACACAAAAAUUAACUCAGAAUGGAUCAUAGACCUAAGGUAAGAGCUAA